This 247-nucleotide ribosomal RNA is filed under the name uncultured bacterium. RNAcentral's name for it is "partial 16S ribosomal RNA". It matches the Rfam family "Bacterial small subunit ribosomal RNA", at positions 523 to 769 of the family's 1533-position model. The record is from RNAcentral.
AUACGUAGGGUGCAAGCGUUAUCCGGAAUUAUUGGGCGUAAAGGGCUCGUAGGCGGUUCGUCGCGUCCGGUGUGAAAGUCCAUCGCUUAACGGUGGAUCUGCGCCGGGUACGGGCGGGCUGGAGUGCGGUAGGGGAGACUGGAAUUCCCGGUGUAACGGUGGAAUGUGUAGAUAUCGGGAAGAACACCAAUGGCGAAGGCAGGUCUCUGGGCCGUUACUGACGCUGAGGAGCGAAAGCGUGGGGAGC